UAUAGUUAUGUUAUAUGAGAUUUGUCAAAAGAAAAAGGAUGAUGGAACUUUUCUUGGAGAACCUUAUCAUAAUAGAUCAUUAUGAAAGUGUUUGUAAAAUUGAAAUAUGAGAUGAGGAGGAGGAGGAUAGGCUAUAUAAGAUUUGGCCUUUUGUGCAUUAUUGAUGAAGCGGGUAUUUUCGGCUCUUAAUAAUGGCUUCUUAGUUAAGAGUUUAUCAUCAAGUUGUUCUAAUGAUGACUAGCUAGUACUACUAAUUUGUCUUUCUCCUAAUAAAGAUUAUUCUACGGGCAUAACAUUUGUGCAUCAGAUAAAAAUUAUUUUAUAAACAUGAAUUUGUACAUCAAAUUGUAAUGUCUUAUUUAUCGUGUAUUAUUUAUACUAUGUAAAUAUCUUUACAUUUUUAUUAUUCAUAAUUCUUAAUUUUUUUUUUUUAAAA
This 436-nucleotide long non-coding RNA is filed under the name Gossypium barbadense (sea-island cotton). Its description in RNAcentral is "long non-coding RNA (GBAR_LNC019823)". Lineage: Eukaryota; Viridiplantae; Streptophyta; Magnoliopsida; Malvales; Malvaceae. The record is from RNAcentral.